CUUACAGCGUUCUCCAACAAUUCUUCAGUCAAAAGCAAAGAAGAUCAUUGAAACAAUGAGCUCUUCAAACCUCUCAAAUGUAGAGGCAAGUAAGGAAAAUGUGUCGCGACCCAAACGAGCCAAACGGAAAUUAUACACAAAUGAAAUCUCCUCGCCUCUGGAUAUAUCUGGCCAAGUGAUUUUAAUGGACCAAGGAUUGAAGAAAAGUGA
Ochotona curzoniae (black-lipped pika) is the source of this 210-nucleotide long non-coding RNA. RefSeq lists it as uncharacterized. The transcript has 3 exons. NCBI's taxonomy places the organism in Eukaryota, Metazoa, Chordata, Mammalia, Lagomorpha, Ochotonidae. The record is from RefSeq and is a predicted model, not a curated record.